RNAcentral lists this long non-coding RNA (254 nucleotides) under Manihot esculenta (cassava). RNAcentral's name for it is "long non-coding RNA (MESC_LNC009969)". Lineage: Eukaryota; Viridiplantae; Streptophyta; Magnoliopsida; Malpighiales; Euphorbiaceae. The record is from RNAcentral.
CUCUACCAAAAACCUCCUAAAAUAUCCUAAAACAAUCAAGGAAAACAUGCAAAGGAAGGCUGGACAUGGCACUUUCGGCGGCAGGUUUGGCGGCCGAAAGUCCCUUCCAGAGCCGAAACUCAAGCACUUUCGGCGGCACUUCGGCUGCCGAAAGUCCUCUCCAGGGACGAAAGUCCCUAACCUUCGGCGGCCGAAACCCCCCUCCAGAGCCGAAAGUCUAAACUUUCGGAGGCAAGCUUAGGCAGCCGAAACCA